AAGUCGUAACAAGGUUUCCGUAGGUGAACCUGCGGAAGGAUCAUUGUCGAAUGUGUGCGGCCCUUUUUUGUUCCCAGCAAACUUUUUGAGGGGUGGUGCUCUGAUGAGUGUGCGAGGAGAAGAACACAACUUUCAACAACGGAUCUCUUGGCUCCCA
This 157-nucleotide unclassified non-coding RNA is filed under the name fungal sp. RNAcentral describes it as "partial internal transcribed spacer region". The stretch from base 1 to 46 matches the Rfam family "Eukaryotic small subunit ribosomal RNA", at positions 1786 to 1831 of the family's 1831-position model. The record is from RNAcentral. Lineage: Eukaryota; Fungi.